Long non-coding RNA from Camarhynchus parvulus, 747 nucleotides. The record is from Ensembl. NCBI's taxonomy places the organism in Eukaryota, Metazoa, Chordata, Aves, Passeriformes, Thraupidae.
UUGCAUGUAGCUGCAAACCAAAACACUAUAAAAUAUACUUUAUACAAUUAUUUUGCAGCUCAAUAUUAUUUUGGGAUAUUCCAUCCAUGGAACGUCGUGAAGAAUUUUUAUCUGCGAAAAUAAAGGAGGAGAGAAGAUCUCAGAUGCCCCCUGGUGAUCCAGACACUGAUGAGGAUUUAGAUCUCUCCUGGAAGCCUCUCAUAAAGAUCAAUCUGCGGGAAAGGGAUAACGACUCAGAGUAUGGUCCCACGAGAAUCAGUUUAAGGAAACUGCAGUAUCGUUACAAACCCCCAGGGAGGGUAAGACCUCGGAGCACACUAAGAGCACCCAUCAAAGAGAGCACAUAUACAGAGAUGAGUGCUUCUUCAAGCAAAAAUCUGGAACUGCUAGAGAAUAUCUCCACAGACUUUUUUGUUGGAAAUGAAGUAAGUGUAAAUGAUGUAUUACCAGUGAAAAUGUUAAUUCAAGACAUCUGAAAGACUGAACAGUUAAAUAACAGAGUUUUCACAAAUGUAUGGACUUGCAUGUUUUCUUCAGGUAUAACUAAAAAGAUUUCUCUGAACAUGCCACCUUUUACUUCCACUUUAUACAUUAUUAAUAAUAAUUAUAUAAUUAAUUAAUGCAUUAUUAAUACUUUUAGCUACAUGCUUAAAAAUAAUGAACCUCCAAUAUUCAGUAGACUAGGAACCCUUACUUCAAGAGCAGAAUUAGAAGACAUUUCCAAAAUAUGUUGAGCUUAACCACCUA